UUGGGUAUAAAGUGUGCGUAGGUGGCCUGCUGAGUCCCGAUGUGAAAGCCCUGGGCUUAACCUGGGGAAUGGCAUUGGAUACUGGUGGGCUGGAGUGUGGUAGAGGGUCGCGGAAUUCCCGGUGUAGCGGUGAAAUGCGUAGAGAUCGGGAGGAACACCAGUGGCGAAGGCGGCGACCUGGGCCAACACUGACGCUGAGGCACGAAAGCGUGGGGAGCAAACCGGAUUAGAUACCCCUGUA
This 241-nucleotide ribosomal RNA is filed under the name uncultured Pseudomonadota bacterium. RNAcentral describes it as "uncultured proteobacterium partial 16S ribosomal RNA". It matches the Rfam family "Bacterial small subunit ribosomal RNA", at positions 554 to 792 of the family's 1533-position model. Lineage: Bacteria; Pseudomonadati; Pseudomonadota. The record is from RNAcentral.